ACACCAGGAGCAAGGGAAUGGAAAAUCAGGUCCAUCGUUUAAAAUAUUUUUCUUACACUUCCUUUCAACAUUUCUCUUUAAUUACAUGUCAACAUUUCCCACAGCAGCAGGAGAUAUGGGAAGUGGACGUACAACUUUCCAAGCUAUGUGGUUCAGAGCUGUAGGUUGACCCAGAAUGUACUACUGAAACCAAGGGAAAGAAAUCAGCUGAACUACUUCAUUGGAAAAACUAUAUGCAGAAUGAUAUUAAAAUAAAACAUACACAGCUGGAGGCACAACAAA
Dermochelys coriacea (leatherback sea turtle) is the source of this 282-nucleotide long non-coding RNA. RefSeq lists it as uncharacterized. The record is from RefSeq and is a predicted model, not a curated record. The transcript is spliced from 2 exons. NCBI's taxonomy places the organism in Eukaryota, Metazoa, Chordata, Testudines, Dermochelyidae.